Molecule: ribosomal RNA, 2903 nt
Filed under: Escherichia coli
Lineage: Bacteria; Pseudomonadati; Pseudomonadota; Gammaproteobacteria; Enterobacterales; Enterobacteriaceae
Description: bacterial LSU rRNA
Rfam family: Bacterial large subunit ribosomal RNA
Source: RNAcentral
UUAAGCGACUAAGCGUACACGGUGGAUGCCCUGGCAGUCAGAGGCGAUGAAGGACGUGCUAAUCUGCGAUAAGCGUCGGUGAGGUGAUAUGAACCGUUAUAACCGGCGAUUUCCGAAUGGGGAAACCCAGUGUGUUUCGACACACUAUCAUUAACUGAAUCCAUAGGUUAAUGAGGCGAACCGGGGGAACUGAAACAUCUAAGUACCCCGAGGAAAAGAAAUCAACCGAGAUUCCCCCAGUAGCGGCGAGCGAACGGGGAGGAGCCCAGAGCCUGAAUCAGUGUGUGUGUUAGUGGAAGCGUCUGGAAAGGCGCGCGAUACAGGGUGACAGCCCCGUACACAAAAAUGCACAUGCUGUGAGCUCGAUGAGUAGGGCGGGACACGUGGUAUCCUGUCUGAAUAUGGGGGGACCAUCCUCCAAGGCUAAAUACUCCUGACUGACCGAUAGUGAACCAGUACCGUGAGGGAAAGGCGAAAAGAACCCCGGCGAGGGGAGUGAAAAAGAACCUGAAACCGUGUACGUACAAGCAGUGGGAGCCUCUUUAUGGGGUGACUGCGUACCUUUUGUAUAAUGGGUCAGCGACUUAUAUUCUGUAGCAAGGUUAACCGAAUAGGGGAGCCGAAGGGAAACCGAGUCUUAACUGGGCGUUAAGUUGCAGGGUAUAGACCCGAAACCCGGUGAUCUAGCCAUGGGCAGGUUGAAGGUUGGGUAACACUAACUGGAGGACCGAACCGACUAAUGUUGAAAAAUUAGCGGAUGACUUGUGGCUGGGGGUGAAAGGCCAAUCAAACCGGGAGAUAGCUGGUUCUCCCCGAAAGCUAUUUAGGUAGCGCCUCGUGAAUUCAUCUCCGGGGGUAGAGCACUGUUUCGGCAAGGGGGUCAUCCCGACUUACCAACCCGAUGCAAACUGCGAAUACCGGAGAAUGUUAUCACGGGAGACACACGGCGGGUGCUAACGUCCGUCGUGAAGAGGGAAACAACCCAGACCGCCAGCUAAGGUCCCAAAGUCAUGGUUAAGUGGGAAACGAUGUGGGAAGGCCCAGACAGCCAGGAUGUUGGCUUAGAAGCAGCCAUCAUUUAAAGAAAGCGUAAUAGCUCACUGGUCGAGUCGGCCUGCGCGGAAGAUGUAACGGGGCUAAACCAUGCACCGAAGCUGCGGCAGCGACGCUUAUGCGUUGUUGGGUAGGGGAGCGUUCUGUAAGCCUGUGAAGGUGUGCUGUGAGGCAUGCUGGAGGUAUCAGAAGUGCGAAUGCUGACAUAAGUAACGAUAAAGCGGGUGAAAAGCCCGCUCGCCGGAAGACCAAGGGUUCCUGUCCAACGUUAAUCGGGGCAGGGUGAGUCGACCCCUAAGGCGAGGCCGAAAGGCGUAGUCGAUGGGAAACAGGUUAAUAUUCCUGUACUUGGUGUUACUGCGAAGGGGGGACGGAGAAGGCUAUGUUGGCCGGGCGACGGUUGUCCCGGUUUAAGCGUGUAGGCUGGUUUUCCAGGCAAAUCCGGAAAACCAAGGCUGAGGCGUGAUGACGAGGCACUACGGUGCUGAAGCGACAAAUGCCCUGCUUCCAGGAAAAGCCUCUAAGCAUCAGGUAACAUCAAAUCGUACCCCAAACCGACACAGGUGGUCAGGUAGAGAAUACCAAGGCGCUUGAGAGAACUCGGGUGAAGGAACUAGGCAAAAUGGUGCCGUAACUUCGGGAGAAGGCACGCUGAUAUGUAGGUGAAGCGACUUGCUCGUGGAGCUGAAAUCAGUCGAAGAUACCAGCUGGCUGCAACUGUUUAUUAAAAACACAGCACUGUGCAAACACGAAAGUGGACGUAUACGGUGUGACGCCUGCCCGGUGCCGGAAGGUUAAUUGAUGGGGUUAGCGGCAACGCGAAGCUCUUGAUCGAAGCCCCGGUAAACGGCGGCCGUAACUAUAACGGUCCUAAGGUAGCGAAAUUCCUUGUCGGGUAAGUUCCGACCUGCACGAAUGGCGUAAUGAUGGCCAGGCUGUCUCCACCCGAGACUCAGUGAAAUUGAACUCGCUGUGAAGAUGCAGUGUACCCGCGGCAAGACGGAAAGACCCCGUGAACCUUUACUAUAGCUUGACACUGAACAUUGAGCCUUGAUGUGUAGGAUAGGUGGGAGGCUUUGAAGUGUGGACGCCAGUCUGUAUGGAGCCGACCUUGAAAUACCACCCUUUAAUGUUUGAUGUUCUAACGUUGGCCCGUAAUCCGGGUUGCGGACAGUGUCUGGUGGGUAGUUUGACUGGGGCGGUCUCCUCCUAAAGAGUAACGGAGGAGCACGAAGGUUGGCUAAUCCUGGUCGGACAUCAGGAGGUUAGUGCAAUGGCAUAAGCCAGCUUGACUGCGAGCGUGACGGCGCGAGCAGGUGCGAAAGCAGGUCAUAGUGAUCCGGUGGUUCUGAAUGGAAGGGCCAUCGCUCAACGGAUAAAAGGUACUCCGGGGAUAACAGGCUGAUACCGCCCAAGAGUUCAUAUCGACGGCGGUGUUUGGCACCUCGAUGUCGGCUCAUCACAUCCUGGGGCUGAAGUAGGUCCCAAGGGUAUGGCUGUUCGCCAUUUAAAGUGGUACGCGAGCUGGGUUUAGAACGUCGUGAGACAGUUCGGUCCCUAUCUGCCGUGGGCGCUGGAGAACUGAGGGGGGCUGCUCCUAGUACGAGAGGACCGGAGUGGACGCAUCACUGGUGUUCGGGUUGUCAUGCCAAUGGCACUGCCCGGUAGCUAAAUGCGGAAGAGAUAAGUGCUGAAAGCAUCUAAGCACGAAACUUGCCCCGAGAUGAGUUCUCCCUGACUCCUUGAGGGUCCUGAAGGAACGUUGAAGACGACGACGUUGAUAGGCCGGGUGUGUAAGCGCAGCGAUGCGUUGAGCUAACCGGUACUAAUGAACCGUGAGGCUUAACCUU